GCCCCAUCCAACUCUGCUUUCAUCUUUCACCUCUUUGUAACCCUUCAAAUCUGUACACGCUCUUUAGGUAUCAAACAAUUUUCCUUUCAUUUCAUCUUAUGUUCUCUAGUUUUUGUAGUUGCUAAGAAAUUUGUAUGCUUGUGAGCAUUUUCAUCAUCAAACUAAUCAGAUGUUCUAAUCCCUGCAAUUAGCCACUAAGUUCUUAAAGAGAUUAAGCGGACCAAGUCUUCAGGGUAUUCGAUCGCAUGAUACUCUGAUACCAUAUAUUAACCUUGUCCAUCUUUGUUUAAUAUUAUGUGAUGCAGAUUCAGAAAUGGUAUACUCUCUCAUUACCAGUUCAAAUGGUAAAAAUUCAUAGUUCAGGCAAGUAAAAUGCCUAAAUAACUUCCAUUAUGGAGAUAAAUGAUAGACAUUCCCAUAUAAGAAUAAAAAUAAGCACAUUCAGACAGAAGCAUAUCAAGACAUUUAUAAUCAUCCUUCUGAAAGGGAUGUGGAGAUGACAGCAGACCAAUUCCUUUGGCAUACUUGAGCACGUUGUCAGAGCGGCUCUUGGAAGGAGCUCACUGUGUACUUUGUACAUGGAGGAAUGGAAGUCAACACAGGAAGCCUCGGUAAAUCC
This 619-nucleotide long non-coding RNA is filed under the name Elaeis guineensis (African oil palm). RNAcentral's name for it is "long non-coding RNA (EGUI_LNC019217)". Lineage: Eukaryota; Viridiplantae; Streptophyta; Magnoliopsida; Arecales; Arecaceae. The record is from RNAcentral.